CGCGUAGGCGGCCAUCUUUGUCAGGCGUGAAAGCCCCGGGCUCAACCUGGGAAUUGCGCUUGGGACGGGGUGGCUUGAGUUCGGGAGAGGAGAGUGGAAUUCCCAGUGUAGAGGUGAAAUUCGUAGAUAUUGGGAAGAACACCGGUGGCGAAGGCGGCUCUCUGGACCGAUACUGACGCUGAGGCGCGAAAGCGUGGGGAGCAAACAGGAUUAGAUACCCUGGUAGUCCACGCUGUAAACGAUGUGUGCUAGACGUUGGGAAGCCUAGCCUCUCGGUGUCGCAGCUAACGCGGUAAGCACACCGCCUGGGGAGUACGGCCGCAAGGUUAAA
This 331-nucleotide ribosomal RNA is filed under the name uncultured bacterium. RNAcentral's name for it is "bacterial SSU rRNA". It matches the Rfam family "Bacterial small subunit ribosomal RNA", at positions 568 to 898 of the family's 1533-position model. The record is from RNAcentral.